RNAcentral lists this long non-coding RNA (557 nucleotides) under Androctonus crassicauda. The record is from RNAcentral. Lineage: Eukaryota; Metazoa; Arthropoda; Arachnida; Scorpiones; Buthidae.
CAUUAAUUCAAAGUCGAAACGUUUAACAUCAUUUCUCUGAAUUUGCAGAAAGAUUUCGACCAUUUCAACAAACGACUUUUCAGUCGUCAAGCUUAGCUUACGGGAGUUUCACCAGGCUUACUUUAAAGACUCAGACUUCCCGACCUCGGCUAGAAUGAAAAGAAACAGGCUACGUAAGGCUAGAAUGGCCAUCUGUUUUCCAUCUCGACCCUGCUACGAAGAGCUACUAAUGCUGUGUGGGACUGUAUUCACCUGCCAGAAAGCAUGCUCUAUCGACAAUCUACGAAAAGUGAUUUUGCAGCGUUCAAAGAUCGAUCGAGAACUAAGAAAGGUUCACGACAGAUACAUACGACAUUUAUGUCAAGAAGGAGCAAAGUACUUUCGGCAUUUUUGUAUGCUUCAUUUUUCCACGCAGGUAAAAUUAUUGAAUGUCUUCGCUGUCAAAACAAACUAGGCUCUACGCUAGUGGCGAUUAGUCAUAGCGAAGAGAACGAUAUACAGAUGCGCUUGUAUUCUAACCAGAAGUAUUUUUAUUGCAUAAAUGUCGAAAAAUUGGC